GGGUUGUGAGGUUAAGCGACUAAGCGUACACGGUGGAUGCCCUGGCAGUCAGAGGCGAUGAAGGGCGUGCUAAUCUGCGAUAAGCGCCGGUAAGGUGAUAUGAACCGUUAUAACCGGCGAUACCCGAAUGGGGAAACCCAGUGUGACUCGUCACACUAUCAUUAACUGAAUCCAUAGGUUAAUGAGGCGAACCGGGGGAACUGAAACAUCUAAGUACCCCGAGGAAAAGAAAUCAACCGAGAUUCCCCCAGUAGCGGCGAGCGAACGGGGAGGAGCCCAGAGCCUGAAUCAGCAUGUGUGUUAGUGGAAGCGUCUGGAAAGGCGCGCGAUACAGGGUGACAGCCCCGUACACAAAAGCGCAUGUGCUGUGAGCUCGAUGAGUAGGGCGGGACACGUGGUAUCCUGUCUGAAUAUGGGGGGACCAUCCUCCAAGGCUAAAUACUCCUGACUGACCGAUAGUGAACCAGUACCGUGAGGGAAAGGCGAAAAGAACCCCGGCGAGGGGAGUGAAAAAGAACCUGAAACCGUGUACGUACAAGCAGUGGGAGCCCCACCACUAAGCCAGUGGUGAACUCCACAUACGCAUCCUUUGCUGAGGAUACGGUUAACGGAGCGAAAGCGACGUUCAACCGCAAAAGAAGCAGAGGGGGCUUAGUGGUGGGGUGACUGCGUACCUUUUGUAUAAUGGGUCAGCGACUUAUAUUCUGUAGCAAGGUUAACCGAAUAGGGGAGCCGGAGGGAAACCGAGUCUUAACCGGGCGUUAAGUUGCAGGGUAUAGACCCGAAACCCGGUGAUCUAGCCAUGGGCAGGUUGAAGGUUGGGUAACACUAACUGGAGGACCGAACCGACUAAUGUUGAAAAAUUAGCGGAUGACCUGUGGCUGGGGGUGAAAGGCCAAUCAAACCGGGAGAUAGCUGGUUCUCCCCGAAAGCUAUUUAGGUAGCGCCUCGUGAAUUCAUCUCCGGGGGUAGAGCACUGUUUCGGCUAGGGGGCCAUCCCGGCUUACCAACCCGAUGCAAACUGCGAAUACCGGAGAAUGUUAUCACGGGAGACACACGGCGGGUGCUAACGUCCGUCGUGAAGAGGGAAACAACCCAGACCGCCAGCUAAGGUCCCAAAGUCAUGGUUAAGUGGGAAACGAUGUGGGAAGGCCCAGACAGCCAGGAUGUUGGCUUAGAAGCAGCCAUCAUUUAAAGAAAGCGUAAUAGCUCACUGGUCGAGUCGGCCUGCGCGGAAGAUGUAACGGGGCUAAACCAUGCACCGAAGCUGCGGCAGCGACACUAUGUGUUGUUGGGUAGGGGAGCGUUCUGUAAGCCUGUGAAGGUGGCCUGUGAGGGUUGCUGGAGGUAUCAGAAGUGCGAAUGCUGACAUAAGUAACGAUAAAGCGGGUGAAAAGCCCGCUCGCCGGAAGACCAAGGGUUCCUGUCCAACGUUAAUCGGGGCAGGGUGAGUCGACCCCUAAGGCGAGGCCGAAAGGCGUAGUCGAUGGGAAACGGGUUAAUAUUCCCGUACUUGGUGUUACUGCGAAGGGGGGACGGAGAAGGCUAUGUUGGCCGGGCGACGGUUGUCCCGGUUUAAGCGUGUAGGUGUGUGUUCCAGGUAAAUCCGGUUCACUUUAACACUGAGGCGUGAUGACGAGGCACUACGGUGCUGAAGCAACAAAUGCCCUGCUUCCAGGAAAAGCCUCUAAGCAUCAGGUAACAUCAAAUCGUACCCCAAACCGACACAGGUGGUCAGGUAGAGAAUACCAAGGCGCUUGAGAGAACUCGGGUGAAGGAACUAGGCAAAAUGGUGCCGUAACUUCGGGAGAAGGCACGCUGACAUGUAGGUGAAGUGAUUUACUCAUGGAGCUGAAGUCAGUCGAAGAUACCAGCUGGCUGCAACUGUUUAUUAAAAACACAGCACUGUGCAAACACGAAAGUGGACGUAUACGGUGUGACGCCUGCCCGGUGCCGGAAGGUUAAUUGAUGGGGUCAGCGCAAGCGAAGCUCCUGAUCGAAGCCCCGGUAAACGGCGGCCGUAACUAUAACGGUCCUAAGGUAGCGAAAUUCCUUGUCGGGUAAGUUCCGACCUGCACGAAUGGCGUAAUGAUGGCCAGGCUGUCUCCACCCGAGACUCAGUGAAAUUGAACUCGCUGUGAAGAUGCAGUGUACCCGCGGCAAGACGGAAAGACCCCGUGAACCUUUACUAUAGCUUGACACUGAACAUUGAGCCUUGAUGUGUAGGAUAGGUGGGAGGCUUUGAAGUGUGGACGCCAGUCUGCAUGGAGCCGACCUUGAAAUACCACCCUUUAAUGUUUGAUGUUCUAACGUGGACCCGUAAUCCGGGUUGCGGACAGUGUCUGGUGGGUAGUUUGACUGGGGCGGUCUCCUCCUAAAGAGUAACGGAGGAGCACGAAGGUUGGCUAAUCCUGGUCGGACAUCAGGAGGUUAGUGCAAUGGCAUAAGCCAGCUUGACUGCGAGCGUGACGGCGCGAGCAGGUGCGAAAGCAGGUCAUAGUGAUCCGGUGGUUCUGAAUGGAAGGGCCAUCGCUCAACGGAUAAAAGGUACUCCGGGGAUAACAGGCUGAUACCGCCCAAGAGUUCAUAUCGACGGCGGUGUUUGGCACCUCGAUGUCGGCUCAUCACAUCCUGGGGCUGAAGUAGGUCCCAAGGGUAUGGCUGUUCGCCAUUUAAAGUGGUACGCGAGCUGGGUUUAGAACGUCGUGAGACAGUUCGGUCCCUAUCUGCCGUGGGCGCUGGAGAACUGAGGGGGGCUGCUCCUAGUACGAGAGGACCGGAGUGGACGCAUCACUGGUGUUCGGGUUGUCAUGCCAAUGGCACUGCCCGGUAGCUAAAUGCGGAAGAGAUAAGUGCUGAAAGCAUCUAAGCACGAAACUUGCCCCGAGAUGAGUUCUCCCUGAGACUUUAAGUCUCCUGAAGGAACGUUGAAGACGACGACGUUGAUAGGCCGGGUGUGUAAGCGCAGCGAUGCGUUGAGCUAACCGGUACUAAUGAACCGUGAGGCUUAACCUUACAACGCCGAAG
RNAcentral lists this ribosomal RNA (3027 nucleotides) under Salmonella enterica subsp. enterica serovar Gaminara. RNAcentral describes it as "bacterial LSU rRNA". It matches the Rfam family "Bacterial large subunit ribosomal RNA". The record is from RNAcentral. Lineage: Bacteria; Pseudomonadati; Pseudomonadota; Gammaproteobacteria; Enterobacterales; Enterobacteriaceae.